This 458-nucleotide ribosomal RNA is filed under the name uncultured bacterium. RNAcentral's name for it is "bacterial SSU rRNA". It matches the Rfam family "Bacterial small subunit ribosomal RNA", at positions 29 to 506 of the family's 1533-position model. The record is from RNAcentral.
ACGAACGCUGGCGGCGUGCCUUAAACAUGCAAGUCGAACGGUCCUUCUCGCGAGGGAAGGGCAGUGGCGAACGGCUGAGUAACACGUAAGUGACCUGCCCAGAUGUGGGGGGUACCCCCGAGAAAUCGGGGCUAAUACCGCAUAAGCUUACCUGAGACAUACAGGUAAGGAAAGCUCGAAAGGGCGCAUUUGGAGGGGCUUGCGGCCCAUCAGGUAGUUGGAGAGGUAAAGGCUCACCAAGCCCGUGACGGGUAGCUGGUCUGAGAGGAUGAUCAGCCAGACUGGGACUGAGACACGGCCCAGACUCCUACGGGAGGCAGCAGUUGGGAAUCUUGCGCAAUGGGCGAAAGCCUGACGCAGCGACGCCGCGUGGGGGACGAAGGUCUUCGGAUUGUAAACCCCUUUUGUCGGGGAAGACACAAGACGGUACCCGGCGAAUAAGCCCCGGCUAACUACGU